AUAUAUAGUUGAGCUGGAAUACUAUUGAUAGCAAAAUACCCUUUUUGCUAUGAAGUUUUUAACCAUUGGAUACAAAAUUGUAGGGUUAGGAUCAUAUUAGUUCCUUAGAGUUGAGUGGUCUCCCUAGGGUUGAGUGGUUCCCACUGGGUUAUAAUAUUUAAUCCAAUGGUUAGAAAUGAUGAAAAAAAUUGAUCCAAAAGCUAAAAACUUAAUAGCAAAAGGGCAUUUUGCUAUCAAUAGUAUUCUAGCCCAACUCUAUCUCUCUCUCUCUAUAUAUAUAUAUAUAUAUAUAUAUUUAUUUCUCUUUCUUCUUUUUUCUUCUUUUUUCCUCUGCACUCCGCAUCUUCUCGCACUACGACGUCCCCUUCCUAGCUCUCUAUUUCUUCCAUCGCAUGUUCUACAACUAUUUCCCCUGCUCUUGUCCCGACAUACUCUCUAUCCUCAUUAUUCUUAAAUCCUAUAGCAUUCUCGCAGCCGUCGCCAUCCACGGCCACGUCCUUCGUUGAGGCCUUGCCACAGAGCUCUUCAUCCAGAAUGACCUCAUUGCUGUCUAUAUAUUGGGAUGAGAUAAGCUGGUAGAAACGCAACGGCGGGGGUGGAGACGUCGGCGUGGUAGGCUGAAAGGAGCAUGGCGAUAUCGGAGCGGUAGAGGAGGAGAAGGAGAGAGAUUAAGCAGGGGGAGAGAAACGUAUAAGAGAGAAAUAAGAGAGAAAAAAAAGAAGAUAAUUUGAUCACUUUUUAAAUAUC
Molecule: long non-coding RNA, 747 nt
Filed under: Ananas comosus (pineapple)
Lineage: Eukaryota; Viridiplantae; Streptophyta; Magnoliopsida; Poales; Bromeliaceae
Description: long non-coding RNA (ACOM_LNC035466)
Source: RNAcentral